UACCGGCACCCCGAGUGGUCGGGACGAUUAUUGGGCCUAAAGCAUCCGUAGCCGGUUCUGCAAGUCCCCCGUUAAAUCCAGCUGCUCAACAGAUGGGCCGCGGAGGAUACUACAGAGCUAGGAGGCAGGAGAGGCAAGCGGUACUCAGUGGGUAGGGGUAAAAUCCGUUGAUCCAUUGAAGACCACCAGUGGCGAAGGCGGCUUGCCAGAAUGCGCUCGACGGUGAGGGAUGAAAGCUGGGGGAGCAAACCGG
RNAcentral lists this ribosomal RNA (253 nucleotides) under uncultured bacterium. RNAcentral describes it as "partial 16S ribosomal RNA". It matches the Rfam family "Archaeal small subunit ribosomal RNA", at positions 474 to 727 of the family's 1478-position model. The record is from RNAcentral.